This 253-nucleotide ribosomal RNA is filed under the name uncultured bacterium. RNAcentral's name for it is "partial 16S ribosomal RNA". It matches the Rfam family "Bacterial small subunit ribosomal RNA", at positions 524 to 776 of the family's 1533-position model. The record is from RNAcentral.
UACGAAGGGGGCUAGCGUUGCUCGGAAUUACUGGGCGUGAAGGGCGCGUAGGCGGACAGUUUAGUCAGAGGUGAAAGCCCAGGGCUCAACCUUGGAAUUGCCUUUGAUACUGGCUGUCUUGAGUUCGGGAGAGGUGAGUGGAAUGCCGAGUGUAGAGGUGAAAUUCGUAGAUAUUCGGCGGAACACCGGUGGCGAAGGCGGCUUGCUGGGCCAUCACUGACGCUGAGACACGAAAGCGUGGGGAGCAAACGGG